GACGAACGCUGGCGGCAGGCCUAACACAUGCAAGUCGAGCGCCCCGCGAGGGGAGCGGCGGACGGGUGAGUAACGCGUGGGAACGUACCCCUUUCUACGGAAUAGCCUCGGGAAACUGGGAGUAAUACCGUAUAAGCUCUUCGGAGGAAAGAUUUAUCGGGAAGGGGUCGGCCCGCGUUGGAUUAGGUAGUUGGUGGGGUAAUGGCCUACCAAGCCGACGAUCCAUAGCUGGUUUGAGAGGAUGAUCAGCCACACUGGGACUGAGACACGGCCCAGACUCCUACGGGAGGCAGCAGUGGGGAAUCUUAGACAAUGGGCGCAAGCCUGAUCUAGCCAUGCCGCGUGAGCGAUGAAGGCCUUAGGGUUGUAAAGCUCUUUCAGUGGGGAAGAUAAUGACUGUACCCACAGAAGAAGCCCCGGCUAACUCCGUGCCAGCCGCCGCGGUAA
Molecule: ribosomal RNA, 447 nt
Filed under: uncultured bacterium
Lineage: Bacteria
Description: partial 16S ribosomal RNA
Rfam family: Bacterial small subunit ribosomal RNA
Source: RNAcentral